Molecule: non-coding RNA, 29 nt
Filed under: Mus musculus (house mouse)
Lineage: Eukaryota; Metazoa; Chordata; Mammalia; Rodentia; Muridae
Source: RNAcentral
UCCAUACACACACAGUCUUAUGCUCUUGA